AGAAAAAAAAUUUAGAUAGUCUAUCAUAAUUGGGUAUUUAGCGUACCCAAUUCAUCAAGAGAAGAAGCCCAUUCUUAUGCCUAAUUCUAUGCAAAGAAAUACGAAAUUUUGCCUCGGCUUAUAUGAUUGGAGGUGAUAGCCAGUGUGUGUGUAUGUGCGAGUGUGCGUAUGUGUGACUGUGAGUGUGAGUGUGAAUGUCAGUGUGAGUGUGAAUGUGAGUAUGUGGGUGUGUAAUACAUAAAUCAGUGUACAUAUAAUAUAGAAACUCAUAAUAAAAUGAAGCUUGCAAGAUCAAGAUCUCAAAUACGAAUAACAUAAAGAGACUUGCCUCGAUGAUAAGCUGCUUUCAUUCUUGUUGAUUUACAAGCAAACUUGAUGAAGAUGAAACUCAUCAACAAUAAGAAAAACUAGUAUAAAUAAGAAAAAAAAAUUAGAUGGUCUAUCAUAAUUGGGUAUUUAGCGUACCCAAUUCAUCAAGAGAAGAAGCCCAUUCUUAUGCUUAAUUCUAUGCAAAGAAAUAUGAAAAUUUGCC
This 532-nucleotide long non-coding RNA is filed under the name Amborella trichopoda. Its description in RNAcentral is "long non-coding RNA (ATRI_LNC000094)". Lineage: Eukaryota; Viridiplantae; Streptophyta; Magnoliopsida; Amborellales; Amborellaceae. The record is from RNAcentral.